AUUGAUAGGAGCAACAACAUGGACCGUCUCGUGAUGGAAGUCUCUGUCACGGGAAUUUAUAGAGAAGUGCAAGCAAUCUUGACAAAUCAAAGAGAAGAAAAACCAUGAAUAAUUUCACUUCAGAAAUCUGUUCAUUAAACAUACAUGCCACUAAGUGUUGUACCCUAACUAUAGCAGUAGCAGAAAAAGAGGAAGUGAAAUACAAAUCUGUAUCAUGUGAAGCCAAACCAUUUUACAAGAUAUCAAGUAAAAGAGAAGAAGUGAAAGCGUUCUAAAAGAAGGUAGGCCUAGUAGAAUCUCAAGUUGUGAAAAGGGUAAUACAAAAUCAUAUCUCUACUAGGGAGACCAAAUAUCAAAUUGGUUGGUCAUGCAUUGAAUGGUUGUUGCCGGCCUUGUCCAUUGUUGUAUCCAUCAUAGGGCUUGGUGGAUUUCUGAGACCUUCUCAAGACUGCUAUCCAAGUAAUUAUUUCCAUCAACAAAGCAAUCCCACCCAAGACUGCAAUCACAAUUAUGUAAGUCGAUUUCCACUUCUGCUCAGGGUGCAAGAUGUCUAGACCUUUGAACACAUUCACAAUGCCAAGGACAAGUAUGGCAUAUCCAACACCGUGAUGGUAGAUAUUCCAAUAGAAUCGGUAUUUGUGGUCCUUCUUCGGUCUCAAGAACAAUGCAAAAAUCUGAGAGAACCAACCAAAUAGUACCCAUCAGAGAAAAUAUUCAAAAUCAAUUCCCAUACUUCACAAUAAACCAAUUGCCAGAUCUCACUCAUUGGCACCAUUGCCAGCCAAGAAGAGGGAUAAAUACAGAAAAAAGACAUAAAUAUCAAGUUUCCUACUAGAGAAGGAAAGAACGGGAAAAACAGGUAAUUAUCCCAAAAAUUUUUCCGUAGAUACAUGAGUACCAAAGACCAAAAGAAGUUUCUUUUCAAUUCAAUCCAGGACCAGAUUCGAUAAAAAUCUCUCACCAGGAUCUAACAAACGAGUGGGGAACAAAAUUUAAGGGUAUGUUGUUUCAAAGAAAAAACUGGCCACAUAUAAAAUCAUGAAGUUCAGUGUGCAUAGGGCUAAACUCUGGCGCCCUCCCAAAAACCUUCACAAUUUUUUUCCCCUUUCUCCUCGCCACAUUGAUCAUUGAAAAAGAAUUUACCUGUAGCGUUGCUAAAGAGAAAAGGGAGAUCCCAAUAUUCCGAUGAGCAGUCCACUGAAUGCCCUUUGAUUCACUUCCAAGUUUCAAACCAGUAGCCCACCCCGCAACCCCAAUAGCAUAAGCAGAAACCUGGCAAGAAACAUGGAGAUAAAACCACGCUGGAUCUGCAGACUGGAAAGGUCUAAGGUAACGUGCUAUUAUAACUCCAAUUGGAAACAGAACUCCCCAGCUCACAGCAUUCAGCACCCCAUGAAUAUUUCUCUUCUUAGUUUUGGAGUCCACUCCACCGGUAACCACAGUCUGUCCUCCCUUCAAAUCCAAGGUUCCCUUGGCGUUCAAAUUUGGAGACUGCAUGGGGUGUGGCGUCAGUACCCCUUUGGAAUCGACGCUGGGACCCACCUGCCACACCUGAUUCACCACCCCCUUCGCUGCCAAGUCCGCCGGAACCUUAAUUUUCGCAAAGAUCCUCAUGACGCCGUUAUCCUCCUCUGCCCGUUCGUCCCACACGUCAAAAGCCAAUUUUGACUGCACCACCGAAGCAAGCGUGUAAGAGCUGAUGUUGUACGUCUUAACAGUCAUGGAACCUUUCGAAUCCUUGUAGCCAACAAGCGCCUGAGCCCCUGGCAUUCCGGUGCCCGUGGGGUUUAUAGCCCAGGAAACCCAUCCAUCAGAUUUGGCAGGGGAAGCAAGGAAGGCGAUAGAAAGAGUAGAAUUAGCGGAAUCGUAAGAGAAAUGGAGAUAGGAGGUGAGGGUAGGGAGGUCUACACAGUGAGCAUACAAAUCAUUGCCGGUGAAUUUCUGAAAGGUGCAGGUCUGCGAGAGCGCGGGUGAGAAAAGAGAAACCAAUAGGCAAAACCCUAAAAUCAAAACAGAGAAGAUAAGGGAAGCCAUUGUUGAGAGCUUUCAGUUACUGACAGAUUAAGAGAGAGCAGAAGAAAAUGGAUGCCAAAUAUUUGGAGGAAUUUAUAGAAAGGUACUUUAACGCUAUGUUUGGAUGGGUGGAAAAGGGGGAGGAAGGAAAAUAAAUAGGGGAAAAUAACUUUGAAAAGACAUUUUCCUUUGUUUGAAUAAGAGAGGGAAAAUAAGGGAGGAAAGGAAAAUAAGUCUUAUUUUCCUCUAGUUAUUUUCCCUCCAAAUUGGAGAGAAAAUAAAAAAUCAAAGGAA
This 2307-nucleotide unclassified non-coding RNA is filed under the name Hevea brasiliensis (rubber tree). The record is from RNAcentral. Lineage: Eukaryota; Viridiplantae; Streptophyta; Magnoliopsida; Malpighiales; Euphorbiaceae.